CCUACGGGUGGCAGCAGUGAGGAAUAUUGGUCAAUGGGCGCGAGCCUGAACCAGCCAAGUAGCGUGAAGGAUGACUGCCCUACGGGUUGUAAACCUCUUUUAUAAAGGAAUAAAGUGAGGCACUUGUGCCUUUUUGCAUGUACUUUAUGAAUAAGGAUCGGCUAACUCCGUGCCAGCAGCCGCGGUAAUACGGAGGAUCCGAGCGUUAUCCGGAUUUAUUGGGUUUAAAGGGAGCGUAGGUGGGUUGUUAAGUCAGGUGUGAAAGUUUGCGGCUCAACCGUAAAAUUGCAAUUGAUACUGGAAGUCUUGAGUACAGUAGAGGUAGGCGGAAUUCGUGGUGUAGCGGUGAAAUGCUUAGAUAUCACGAAGAACUCCGAUUGCGAAGGCAGCUUAC
Molecule: ribosomal RNA, 394 nt
Filed under: uncultured bacterium
Lineage: Bacteria
Description: partial 16S ribosomal RNA
Rfam family: Bacterial small subunit ribosomal RNA
Source: RNAcentral